AAAAAUUUGUAAUAGUUCAUGGACCCAGAUAUAAUUUUCAUAUUUACAAUUAUUGCCAUUUUAUAUUUAAAAAAAAAAAUAAGGUUUCUUUGUUUGGGAGGCUCGGGACGUAGUUUCCGGCGAAGGUAAGAUCUGCGUUUGUGGAGAUUGAGUAACGUUGUUAACGAUUCGAUUAGGAGUAAACUAAAGGAAGUGCUCUACUAAAUUUCUCUAUUUCUCGGCGAAUCGACGGACGGCGACAUAUGUCUCUUCAAAUCGACGGCUUAUUAGUAGAUAAAGAUUCGAACGAGAUUGGGAAGACGUAGCAGAGAGAGAAGAGGCGCGUGGCGACUCCCGGUGAAGGUUACCAAUUUCAUUGUCCUGUUUAGUUUUUUUUUCGUUUCGGCGAGGUGACGACGGAGACGGAGACGGAGACGGUCCAUGGAUUUCAGAUGUGAUUGUGGUUGCGUUCAGUACAUCGAAAAAGACAAACGUCGAUAGUGUUGUCCCCUUUGGUUUCAUGGGAGAAAGAGAAAGAUGAUUUCCAACUUGAGGCUCUUCUUCCUCAAAACAUUAUUGUCAGCAGUAAGUGGUAUGUUUAAAGAUUCUUCUUUCAUUGUUCUACUGGUUUUUAAUCUUUACUUCUUGAUUUUUGUUUCUGUAUUCUGGUAUGCUUUGUGUACUAGGGGUCUACAUCGUUAGUUUCAAACUUUCAAUACGUAUGUACUAUUUGUUAUUGUGAUGUUUAAUGAAGUAUGUAUUGGUAUUUCAGCUUGAUUACUAUCUUUAUAAUCA
Long non-coding RNA from Camelina sativa (false flax), 774 nucleotides. RefSeq lists it as uncharacterized. Lineage: Eukaryota; Viridiplantae; Streptophyta; Magnoliopsida; Brassicales; Brassicaceae. The record is from RefSeq and is a predicted model, not a curated record.